AAGCGAAAUUCAAGAUGGUUGUA
RNAcentral lists this microRNA (23 nucleotides) under Caenorhabditis elegans. RNAcentral's name for it is "cel-miR-1829c-5p". Lineage: Eukaryota; Metazoa; Nematoda; Chromadorea; Rhabditida; Rhabditidae. The record is from miRBase by way of RNAcentral.